GCCGGUUUUGUGAUCCAUUGGUUUUGUAAACCGAAGGUCGGGGGUUCGAUCCCCUCCGCCGGCACCA
Molecule: transfer RNA, 67 nt
Filed under: Methylobacterium currus
Lineage: Bacteria; Pseudomonadati; Pseudomonadota; Alphaproteobacteria; Hyphomicrobiales; Methylobacteriaceae
Description: tRNA-Thr
Rfam family: tRNA
About the family: Transfer RNA (tRNA) molecules are approximately 80 nucleotides in length. Their secondary structure includes four short double-helical elements and three loops (D, anti-codon, and T loops).
Source: RNAcentral